UACGGGAGGUGCGAGCGUUGUUCGGAAUGACUGGGCGUAAAGCGCACGUAGGCGGGUCUUUAAGUCGCCUGUGAAAAGCCCCCGGGCGUUAACCUGGGAAUCGCAGACGAAACUAGAGAUCUUGAAUGCCUGAGAGGUUGAUGGAAUUCUUGGUGUAGGAGUGAAAUCCGUAGAUAUCAAGAGGAACACCGGAGGCGAAGGCGGUCAACUGGUGGUGCAUUGACGCUGAGGUGCGAAAGCGUGGGUAGCAAACAGGAUUAGAACCGA
Molecule: ribosomal RNA, 267 nt
Filed under: uncultured bacterium
Lineage: Bacteria
Description: partial 16S ribosomal RNA
Rfam family: Bacterial small subunit ribosomal RNA
Source: RNAcentral